AACGAACGCUGGCGGCAUGCCUAACACAUGCAAGUCGAACGAGACCUUCGGGUUUAGUGGCGCACGGGUGCGUAACGCGUGGGAAACUGCCCAUAGGUUCGGAAUAACUCCCCGGAAGGGGUGCUAAUACCGGAUAAUGUAUUCGAACCAAAGAUUUAUCGCCUUUGGAUGUGCCUGCGUGGGAUAGGCUAGCUGGUAGGGUAAAAGCCUACCAAGGCGACGUUCCAUAGCUGGUUAGAGAGGAAAGUCAGCCACACUGGUACUGAGACACGGUCCAGACUCUUACGGGAUGCAGCAGUGGGUAAUAUAGCAAAAUGGGCUAAAUCCAGAUCCAGUUAGGCCGCUUGAGUGAUGAAGGCCGGAGGGUUGUAAAGCUCUUUUAUCCGUGACUAUAAUGACAUUACCGGGAGAAUAAGCACCGGCUAACUCCGUG
Molecule: ribosomal RNA, 433 nt
Filed under: uncultured bacterium
Lineage: Bacteria
Description: partial 16S ribosomal RNA
Rfam family: Bacterial small subunit ribosomal RNA
Source: RNAcentral